UCAAGUUAGAAAGGGCGUAUGGUGGAUGCCCAGGCACUUAGAGCCGAAGAAGGACGCAGCAAGCGGCGAAACGCUCCGGGGAGUCGCAAGCAGACGCAGAUCCGGAGAUCUCCGAAUGGGGAAACCCGCUUAAGGUAAUACUUAAGCAUCCCAUGGUGAACACAUAGCCAUGAGGAAGGGACACCGCGUGAACUGAAACAUCUAAGUAGCGCGAGGAAAAGAAAGAAAAAGUCGAUUUCCUGAGUAGUGGCGAGCGAAAAGGAAAGAGCCCAAACCCGGCACUCAAUUAGAAUUGUUAAAAAAGCAAAAAUAGAGAAAUAGCAGUUCUAAUUGAGUGCCGGGGGUUUAGGACCACAAGAAGGUAUAAAAAAGCGAAGCCGAACAGACCUGGGAAGGCAGGCCAAAGAAGGUGAAAGCCCUGUAGGCGAAAGCUUCAAAUACCGAGUGGGAUCCAGAGUACCACAGGAUAGGCAACCCGGUGGGAAGACGGGAGGACCAUCUCCCAAGGCUAAAUACUCCUAAGUGACCGAUAGCGCAUAGUACCGUGAGGGAAAGGUGAAAAGAACCCCGGGAGGGGAGUGAAAGAGAACCUGAAACCAUAUGUCCACAAGCAGUGGAAGUCCGGCACUCAACUGAACAUGUUAGAGAGAAGAAAAAAGAACUAGCGUGUCCAGUUGAGAGCCGGACGACCACGUACUUUUUGUAGAACGGACCGGCGAGUUAUAGAUAUGCAGCGAGGUUAAGCGAAAGCGGAGCCGAAGCGAAAGCGAGUCUUAAAAGGGCGAAAGUUGCAUAUCAUAGACCCGAAACCGUGCGACCUACCCAUGAUCAGGGUGAAGCCGGAGUAAGAUCUGGUGGAGGCCCGAACCACGUUGACGUUGAAAAGUCAUGGGAUGAAUUGUGGGUAGCGGAGAAAUUCCAAUCGAGCUCGGAGAUAGCUGGUUCUCCCCGAAAUAGCUUUAGGGCUAGCCUCAGGGGGAAGGAAAUAUGGAGGUAGAGCACUGAAUGGACUAGGGGCCAAAGAGGUUACCGAACCCUAUCAAACUCCGAAUGCCAUAUUGAGACCCUGGGAGUCAGACUACGAGUGAUAAGAUCCGUGGUCAAAAGGGAAAGAGCCCAGACCGACAGCUAAGGUCCCAAAGAGCAUGUUAAGUGGAAAAGGAAGUAGGAUUUCCAAGACAACCAGGAUGUUGGCUUAGAAGCAGCCAUACAUUCAAAGAGUGCGUAAUAGCUCACUGGUCGAGAAAUCCCGCGCCGAAAAUAAACGGGGCUAAAACAUGCCACCGAAGCUACGGAUUCUAAAGAAAGAAUGGUAGGGGAGCGUACUGUACAGGACGAAGGACAAGCGAAAGCGAAUCUGGACAGUACAGUAGAGAGAAUGCCGGUAUAAGUAACGAGAGUAAGGCGAGAAACCUUACCGUCGAAAGCCUAAGGAUUCCUGGGGAAGGAUAAUCCGCCCAGGGUAAGUCGGGACCUAAGCCGAGGCGAAAGCGUAGGCGAUGGAGAACCGGUAAUAAAUCCGGUACCACCGAAAUCCGUCAAAAGAGAAGCAAGGACGCAGCGAGAUAAGAAAAGCGUGCGGUUGGUAGAGCACGUCCAAGCAGCGACGAAAAGAGCUUUGAGUGAAGUACCAAAGCUCAUAAGAGCUGUGAAGGGGAGCCGAAAGGCGAAGUUUCGAAGGGGCUGCCAAGAAAAGUUGCUAUCGAGGAUAAGGUGCCCGUACCAUAAACCGACACAGGUAGGCGAGGAGAGAAUCCAAAGACGAGCGGGAGAACCCUCAUUAAGGAACUCGGCAAAAAGACUCCGUAACUUCGGGAGAAGGAGUGCCGAAAGGCCGCAGAGAAGAGGCCCAAGCGACUGUUUACCAAAAACACAGGUUUCUGCUAAGUCGAAAGACGAAGUAUAGGAGCUGACGCCUGCCCGGUGCUGGAAGGUUAAGGGGAAGGGUCAUCCGGCACUCAACUAUAUAGAUAGAGUUGAGUGCCGGAGAAGCUCUGAACUUAAGCCCCAGUAAACGGCGGCCGUAACUAUAACGGUCCUAAGGUAGCGAAAUUCCUUGUCGGGUAAGUUCCGACCUGCACGAAAGGCGUAACGACUUGGGCGCUGUCUUGAAGGGGGACCCGGUGAAAUUGUAGUACUCGUGAAGAUGCGAGUUACCCGCGACAGGACAGAAAGACCCCAUGGAGCUUUACUGCAGCUUGUCACUGAAUUUUAGUAAUAUCUGUACAGAAUAGGUGGGAGGCAGAGAAAUAUGGGCGCCAGCCUAUAUGGAGCCAACGUUGGGAUACCACCCUGAUAUUACCGAAAUUCUAACAUAGGAGCCGUAAACCGGCAUAUGGACACUGACAGGCGGGCAGUUUGACUGGGGCGGUCGCCUCCUAAAAAGUAACGGAGGCGUCCAAAGGUUACCUCAGCGCGGAAGGAAAUCGCGCGAAAGAGUGCAAAGGCAGAAGGUAGCCUAACUGCGAGAAAGACAAUUCGAGCAGGGACGAAAGUCGGGCUUAGUGAUCCGGCGGUAGAGAAUGGGAUUGCCGUCGCUCAACGGAUAAAAGCUACCCUGGGGAUAACAGGCUGAUCUCCCCCAAGAGUCCACAUCGACGGGGAGGUUUGGCACCUCGAUGUCGGCUCAUCGCAUCCUGGGGCUGAAGUAGGUCCCAAGGGUUGGGCUGUUCGCCCAUUAAAGCGGUACGCGAGCUGGGUUCAGAACGUCGUGAGACAGUUCGGUCCCUAUCCGUCGCGGGCGCAGGAAAUUUGAGAGGAUCUGCCCUUAGUACGAGAGGACCGGGGUGGACAAACCGAUGGUGUACCAGUUGCAAAGCCAUUUGCACAGCUGGGUAGCCAAGUUUGGAAGGGAUAAACGCUGAAAGCAUCUAAGCGUGAAACCCACCUCAAGAUAAGAUUUCCCAUCUGGCACUCAACUAUACUUACUGAAGGGAAAAAGCACUAUGUACAAAUGUUAGGGAAUAAAAUAGAUUACAGUAGGUAGAGUUGAGUGCCAGAGUAAGACACCUUGAAGAAGACGAGGUAGAUAGGCCGGAGGUGUAAGAGUAGAAAUACUUUCAGCUGACCGGUACUAAUAAGUCGAGGACUUGACCUU
This 3097-nucleotide ribosomal RNA is filed under the name Thermoanaerobacterium xylanolyticum. RNAcentral's name for it is "23S ribosomal RNA". It matches the Rfam family "Bacterial large subunit ribosomal RNA". The record is from RNAcentral. Lineage: Bacteria; Bacillati; Bacillota; Clostridia; Thermoanaerobacterales; Thermoanaerobacteraceae.